UUCAGACUUCAAAGCGACUUAU
Molecule: non-coding RNA, 22 nt
Filed under: Arabidopsis thaliana (thale cress)
Lineage: Eukaryota; Viridiplantae; Streptophyta; Magnoliopsida; Brassicales; Brassicaceae
Source: RNAcentral